RNAcentral lists this unclassified non-coding RNA (1196 nucleotides) under Bombus terrestris (buff-tailed bumblebee). RNAcentral describes it as "misc RNA ENSBTSG00005021762.1". The record is from RNAcentral. Lineage: Eukaryota; Metazoa; Arthropoda; Insecta; Hymenoptera; Apidae.
UGAUACGAUUUCUGACUUGUGUAAUCCGAAUAAUGGCUCCAUUUUAUAGUGUGGAAAAACUUCGAUCACAAUACGAAAGGAAAAAGGAAGAACAUCGACGAUGUAGCAAACCGCAAGAUCUCGUAACCUUAUAUUCAACCAGAAAUCCUCGCCGUCGAAACUGACGUCUAGCCGACAUGAGCCUCAUAAUCGGAUUAUGUCGUCUCGUGUUACCUUAAAUCCAUCUGCAAUUAAUACGUCCACCUUCUAUAUUGGUAACACGAUAUCGCUCUAAGUCUGGUUGUUUUACGCGCACGUACAUGCGUCCAGUGAAUCGAAAGGUGGUAGCCCGCGAUUCCCAUCAAAAUAAGAUUUCUGGACUCGUUACCUGCGAAAGAAUCUUUGCAACCUUCCUCAAGAUCACGAUCUGUCAAUUGAAGAUCGAUAACUCCAUCAGGAAAUGGAUAAAACAAUUUAUCAUCCUUGAAGUUUGUCAGAGAUUUCCAAGUAGCGAAUUGUCGAGACCUUUUGGCUUCUCCAUAACGCGUUGAUCCGCGUUUACGAUGAAAUCCGCGGACGCAAAAUCGACGAGCGGACUCCGCGCGGUCUGCCACGGAAAUUCCACGUCCUGGUCUCUUGCCAACGUGAUCUUGGCUUGGACCUGGUUUUGCGAUGGCACCAUUGCCAAAAGUAAUUCGCGUGAACCGCAAACGCGCGCACGAUUCUCAACGUUAACUAGAAAUCCUAGCGAGUAUGUGUGCAUUUGCAGCUACGUAUAUGAGUAGCGAAAUUAGCCUGGACACGAGGAAGUGCCCGCGUCUCGAUCCGAUAUAAACUUCCGUCGAAUAGGAGACCAAACGGCGGGUCCCACUUAGGAUCAUUAAUCUUUUGCAGUGCUCCUCUGAGCGCGUGAACAGGAACGAACAGUGUAGUGCGUUACGCAACAGUAUCCGGAAAACUGUUCGCCAUUCAGUUCUACAUCCUUUUCAUUCUCUCGUUUGUGACAGAAUGUUGUUUCUUCUUCUAUAAUUUGUUCAUAAUUUAAUCUGCAUACGUGUAAAUAUUUUAGUCGAUCUCUAUUAACGAUACAUGAAUGACUAUACUGUUAAUGAGAUCUUAAAAUCAACGCAUAAAUGAAUAAAAUAAAUGAAUGAAAUACACAAAUGAUAAAUUAACGAUAAAAAACAAUAUUGACUACUCUUUUGUGGAAUCAGCAA